GAUGAACGCUGGCGGCGUGCCUAAUACAUGCAAGUCGAGCGAACAGAUGAGGAGCUUGCUCCUCUGACGUUAGCGGCGGACGGGUGAGUAACACGUGGAUAACCUACCUAUAAGACUGGGAUAACUUCGGGAAACCGGAGCUAAUACCGGAUAAUAUAUUGAACCGCAUGGUUCAAUAGUGAAAGACGGUUUUGCUGUCACUUAUAGAUGGAUCCGCGCCGCAUUAGCUAGUUGGUAAGGUAACGGCUUACCAAGGCAACGAUGCGUAGCCGACCUGAGAGGGGGAUCGGCCACACUGGAACUGAGACACGGUCCAGACGCCUACGGGAGGCAGCAGUAGGGAAUCUUCCGCAAUGGGCGAAAGCUUGACGGAGCAACGCCGAGUGAGUGAUGAAGGUCUUCGGAGCGUAAAACUCUGUUAUUAGGGAAGAACAAAUGUGUAAGUAACUAUGCACGUCUUGACGGUACCUAAUCAGAAAGCCACGGCUAACUACGUG
This 497-nucleotide ribosomal RNA is filed under the name uncultured bacterium. Its description in RNAcentral is "partial 16S ribosomal RNA". It matches the Rfam family "Bacterial small subunit ribosomal RNA", at positions 28 to 507 of the family's 1533-position model. The record is from RNAcentral.